This is a long non-coding RNA of Solea senegalensis (Senegalese sole), 2615 nucleotides long. RefSeq lists it as uncharacterized. The transcript has 2 exons. The record is from RefSeq and is a predicted model, not a curated record. Lineage: Eukaryota; Metazoa; Chordata; Actinopteri; Pleuronectiformes; Soleidae.
UGUAUAGGUCCCAGCCAGGCAGCCAAUAGUAGCCAGCUGCUGCCUCAUCACGUCUCACACUAGUUUUUCCCUUCUCGUUUGCCGUAUGUGAUCAUUGACAACAAUCAUGGCGUCUUCAAUGUCACUUCUCAGCUUAGGACGUUUAACCAUGAUCAAUACAGCUUCUAAAAUGCUCCUGAACCCUCUCAGGUUUACAAGCACAUCAACAUUGAGGCUGGCAGAGAAACCAGGACAAGACACACAACUAAUUAAAGUCGAUGAGAAGUUGGUAAGGAUCCCUCCCUGCUCAACAUGAGAUAUUUGGUGUUUGUUUGAUCUUCUGUUGGUCAAAUGCUUUCCUGGAAAUUUUGUUACAAAACUCUCCUUACUUUGCACCUACCAAAUAGAUUACCAACUGCAUUUUAGAAGACAAAAGUAGUAAAAUUAGGAGUCUCAUGACUAAUGAUAAAUGUAUUUUGGAUUAAACAGAUGUCAGUGAGAUAAAUGGUUAGGGAGGCAAGCAUGUUGUAGCACUAUUGGACAGACAAGACCAGCUGAUUAAGAGCUGACAUCAUGGGAAAUGACAGCUAUGAAUUGACAGUGUGGCAUCUGUGCUUGUUUUAGAGGAGAUGACAUCACAGGAAAUAUGACAAUGAAACCAUGACAGACUUGUUUCAUAGUAAAAGAACCGUAGCAUCCAUUCAGUUUUUUCAACAAAGCUUUUUGUAUAUAUUUUUAGGACUGCAUGUCAUGCAUGGCUACUAAAGAGUUCUGGCAUUUUGUUGAUUGUAUAUGAGUAUUUAAAGGUGUAUUAUUAUGAUUCUCAAAUGCAAAACCUAGGUAAAACAUAGCAGAACCUCCACAGCAGACACAGCACCAAAGCCGUCACUCACACGCAUUCACUGUGGACCCAGCCUGGGAGUUUAUUGUAAUUUAUGGUCAAACUUUGUAUGUUGACAACUUUGUACAUGGAAGUGCAUUCAAAGAUGUCAGGCAAGUGUAAUAAAUCCCACCAAAACCAAAAAUGAAUAAACGUCAAACCCUAAACAUCUGUAAGUCAGAUCAAAAUAUUAACACUUCACAUGCACACUCUGGCCACUGCGUUUUGUGGUCAAGCAAAUCUGCUGCUGAUGGCAAGGGAACUAGGAAACUACAGCUGCACACGCAGGCUUUGAUCCAUCUUGGUCGUCAGAGACGAAAUAUGCCUGCUGUUUUAUAAGACUAUUGUUGGUGAGGUUAGGCACAAAAUAAAAAUUACAAAAAAAAAAUCUCCACAAAAUUGAUCAGUUUGCCUUUAAACAGACUGACCAAAAUAUGUGGCAAAGGUGGCACAUUUGAGUUGUAGUUAGUGAGUUUUUUGCCCUAUGUAAAGAGGGCUUAAAGGUUAAGUAUGUAAUUUCUAGUAACAUUUAGGCCCUGUUCACAUAAGGACUCUUGCAGGUAAAAACGACAAAAUAUUUUAUCAGAAGUUUAUCUUUCAUUUAGAUGGGGACGGCGUUUUUGGGGGCUUAAAACGCAAAUAUCUGAAUUCACCCUUCAGAGUGGAAAACUUGAAUACACUCCACCGUAUCGUCUCCGUCUACACGGGCAAGAUGCAAAACUCUGCUCAGAUCUGCUCAUGUCGCGUGCGCGUUUACGUCACAUACAUGCGCCAGUACAGGGAAAUAAACAAACAUGUCGGAUUAUUUCCAUGGGACGGACCUUCAAGCUGCUCUGGCAGCUUCACUCAGAACUAAAAUGUCGUUGUCGUCUUCUAUGACCGUGUCAACAGAUGAUGUUCCCGUAUGAAGACAUAUUUAUACAUUUUACUUGUGUGUAUAGUAAUUGUAAAGAUCAUAGAUGUGUAAAAGAUAGUUAUUUUCCCGUAUCGUGUUAGUGUUUUAUUGCUAACAGCGGGCUAGCUGUUAUCAAAGUAAUAGUUAGCAUCUAGAUGUUUAGUCUGAUCAAGUGGGAGAGAGCGGUAUGGCAGCGGUAGUAGAGUGAAGCAACAGACAAGGGAGGGGGAGUGAGCAGCUGCCAACACAGAAGAAGAAAGAGAAGAAGAGAAGCUCCACACACACUGAAGACAAGUAACAGGUUUGUACUGAUGAUAUUGUAUGAUUUUCUUACCUGGUCUGUUCAGUAACAACAGCAGACAUACAAUAGGUAUUUAUAUAAUGCUAGCAUCUAUGUACUUUACAUCAUACUGUAAAUGACAGCGUAAUCUACAACAUCAGUCUGAUGUGUUAUCUCAUUACAAUAUUUCAAUUGUUGAGUAAUAUCAGUGGAACGAUUAUAUGAAAACUGGGAGGGAGAAUUAUACAAAUAUUUAUGAAUUGACCAAUUAUGUUCCAUAUAUUGCUAAAAAUAGUAUGAAUACUUUAUACCCUACAAACCCUAACAUGCAGUCCAUUGUCAUCUAUCAAACAUCAUUCAAACAAGUACUUUCUCUUUUGUGUUUCAUGUAUAUAGACUUCUGGUGGAGAUAACUCUGGAGGAGCACAGAGAUCUAACAGCUCAGCUGCUGGAGAGACAACCAGGUCUAGUUUUUGAUGCCCUGAUGAUGCAUCAGUGCAUAUUUAAAAGUAAUUUUACACUAUUUUACUUGUAUAUUUUGCUGGUACAACCUGAAGAGGAAAUAAAUAAUUAAAGAUGAA